Molecule: transfer RNA, 68 nt
Filed under: Zonosaurus laticaudatus (Western girdled lizard)
Lineage: Eukaryota; Metazoa; Chordata; Lepidosauria; Squamata; Gerrhosauridae
Description: partial tRNA-Ile
Source: RNAcentral
GACGUGUGCCUGAAUAAAGGACUACUUUGAUAGAGUAGAACAUAGAAGUUUAAACCUCCUCACCUCCU